This 253-nucleotide ribosomal RNA is filed under the name uncultured bacterium. RNAcentral's name for it is "partial 16S ribosomal RNA". It matches the Rfam family "Bacterial small subunit ribosomal RNA", at positions 524 to 776 of the family's 1533-position model. The record is from RNAcentral.
UACGUAGGGUGCAAGCGUUACUCGGAUUUAUUGGGCGUAAAGCGCAUGUAGGCGGUUUUAUAAGUCUGAUGUGAAAUCCCUGGACUCAAUUCAGGAACUGCAUUGGAUACUGUAAGACUAGAGUAUGAGAGAGGUAGGCGGAAUUCUUGGUGUAGAGGUGAAAUUCGGAGAUAUCAAGAGGAACAACAGAAGCGAAGGCGGCUUACUGGAUCAUUACUGACGCUGAGAUGCGACAGUGUGGGUAGCAAACAGG